AAUCCAUGGAACCAUCCUGGUGUUUCUUUCUGAAGGAGCUGCGUCUGGAGCCGUCACUGUCCGAGGAUGGACAUAUCUGCAGCGAAGAACACAAAAAUUAAAAAUGAUGAACCGUGACUACGCAGAUGCUGAACAGACGCUACGAUAGGACCAAGAGGCUGCUGUGACUGUUUUUGGUGUACCUUAGUUUUUCCGAUCUGAUACGUGGUAGGGUCCAGGCCCAUCUUCUUCCCCAGCAGUGCUGCUAUGUCCUCUUUACAGGCGGUUGCACUCCUUGGCAACAGAACUCUGAACUGAUCAACGAAUUCCUGCAGACAUAAAAAAA
Cynoglossus semilaevis (tongue sole) is the source of this 325-nucleotide long non-coding RNA. RefSeq lists it as uncharacterized. Lineage: Eukaryota; Metazoa; Chordata; Actinopteri; Pleuronectiformes; Cynoglossidae. The record is from RefSeq and is a predicted model, not a curated record. The transcript has 2 exons.